UAUUCUGCCCCAUGGGGAAGGAUGAGAAGCUUCGACUAAGGUUCGACUCGAGCGAAGCGAGAGAACGUUACCGCAGGCAACGGCCCGAAGGGCGAAGCGCUUUAGCGCCGAGUAAUCCUUCCCCCACCACUG
RNAcentral lists this small RNA (132 nucleotides) under Klebsiella pneumoniae. RNAcentral describes it as "RtT sRNA". It matches the Rfam family "RtT RNA". Rfam says of the family: This family represents a bacterial cis-regulatory element known as RtT RNA. The exact function of RtT is unknown although it is thought that it may be involved in changing the cellular response in relation to amino acid starvation. Lineage: Bacteria; Pseudomonadati; Pseudomonadota; Gammaproteobacteria; Enterobacterales; Enterobacteriaceae. The record is from RNAcentral.